Molecule: long non-coding RNA, 236 nt
Filed under: Erythranthe guttata (spotted monkey flower)
Lineage: Eukaryota; Viridiplantae; Streptophyta; Magnoliopsida; Lamiales; Phrymaceae
Description: long non-coding RNA (EGUT_LNC001291)
Source: RNAcentral
AAAAAAUAUAGCACAACUUACUACGCCGGUGAUUCGCCGUCGCCGAUGUGUUGUUUUGUUGCCUAACAAACAACAAAAAUCGAUUACGCCAUUGACGAUGUGUUGUUGCCUGAUAGAGUAAAUCAAUUACGCCGCCACAAAAUUCUGAAAAUCUGAUAGUGGAGAGGAGAAAUUCGAAUUGCAAAAACCCCAAGCCCUAAUUGUAGCCAAGUUUGUGAGACGUGAGUGUGUGAGUA